Molecule: long non-coding RNA, 201 nt
Filed under: Elaeis guineensis (African oil palm)
Lineage: Eukaryota; Viridiplantae; Streptophyta; Magnoliopsida; Arecales; Arecaceae
Description: long non-coding RNA (EGUI_LNC072310)
Source: RNAcentral
CGGAAGGAGACCUUUAGGGAAUCUCUGGAGGGAUAACUAAUCAGACUCUCAGAAGAUCGUUGUGAGUGCAAGAUGCCACGGGCACAAGCUCGCCGCUAGUACAUACUGUCUCUUGUGCAAAGAUGAGAGGUUCUAGAUACCAGAGGUACAAGAUCACAGCAGGCACACAAUGCCACACAUGAGAGAUAACUUAUCAGGCCC